Molecule: RNase P RNA, 357 nt
Filed under: Dokdonella sp.
Lineage: Bacteria; Pseudomonadati; Pseudomonadota; Gammaproteobacteria; Lysobacterales; Rhodanobacteraceae
Description: RNase P RNA component class A
Rfam family: Bacterial RNase P class A
About the family: Ribonuclease P (RNase P) is a ubiquitous endoribonuclease, found in archaea, bacteria and eukarya as well as chloroplasts and mitochondria.
Source: RNAcentral
GGAGUCGGCCAGGCAGUCGCGACGUGUUUCGACACGGCGAGGAAAGUCCGGGCUCCACAGGGCAAGGUGCCAGGUAACGCCUGGGCGGCGUGAGCCGACGGAAAGUGCAACAGAAAGCAAACCGCCGAACGGCAUCGCAAGAUGUGCGUGGCAAGGGUGAAACGGUGCGGUAAGAGCGCACCGCGUGCGGGGUCAACGCCGCAUGGCACGGCAAACCCCACCUGGAGCAAGACCAAAUAGGGGAGCUAUGGCGUGGCCCGCGUCGCUCCCGGGUUGGUUGCUUGAAUCCUGCGGCGACGCAGGAUCCAGAGGAAUGGCUGCCCACGACAGAACCCGGCUUAACGGCCGACUCCUUUU